Molecule: ribosomal RNA, 253 nt
Filed under: uncultured bacterium
Lineage: Bacteria
Description: partial 16S ribosomal RNA
Rfam family: Bacterial small subunit ribosomal RNA
Source: RNAcentral
GACAGAGGGGGCAAGCGUUGCUCGGAAUUACUGGGCGUAAAGGGCUCGUAGGCGGCCAACUAAGUCAGACGUGAAAUCCCUCGGCUUAACCGGGGAACUGCGUCUGAUACUGGUUGGCUUGAAUCCGGGAGAGGGAUGUGGAAUUCCAGGUGUAGCGGUGAAAUGCGUAGAUAUCGUAAGGAAGACCAGUGGCGAAGGCGGGUCUCUGGACAGUUCCUGACGCUGAGGCACGAAGGUCAGGGGAGCAAACGGG